Molecule: non-coding RNA, 270 nt
Filed under: Geomicrobium sp.
Lineage: Bacteria; Bacillati; Bacillota; Bacilli; Caryophanales
Description: T-box sequence
Rfam family: T-box leader
About the family: Uncharged tRNA acts as the effector for transcription antitermination of genes in the T-box leader family.
Source: RNAcentral
AUAAAGGCGAUGAAAAGAAGAGUACAUCGACACGCUGUCUACAGAGACCUCAAGUUGCUGAGAAUGAGGGAUGAGUUUGUGGGUCGAAGCAAGUCUUGGAGCUGUGCAGAGGAUUUAUGAUCACAUUUCUCAUAAUGAUGAUGCAACGACUUCUCCCGUUAUCGAGAUAGAGUAUCGCGGACGAUUCUUCGCCCUGCCGUACUUGAUAAGACUCCUUUAGCAAUAGAGGAGUGAAUUGAGGUGGCACCGCGAUGACCGCUCGCCCUCAAA